This 1349-nucleotide ribosomal RNA is filed under the name Sicamugil hamiltonii (Burmese mullet). RNAcentral's name for it is "partial 16S ribosomal RNA". It matches the Rfam family "Bacterial large subunit ribosomal RNA", at positions 533 to 2597 of the family's 2925-position model. Lineage: Eukaryota; Metazoa; Chordata; Actinopteri; Mugiliformes; Mugilidae. The record is from RNAcentral.
GAGAAAUGAAAUAAACCAGUAAGCUAAGAAAAGCAGAGACAAAACCUCGUACCUUUUGCAUCAUGAUUUAGCAAGUAUACCCAAGCAAAAAGAAUUUUAGUUUGGCCCCCCGAAACCAGGUGAGCUACUACAAGACAACCUUCAGUUAGGGUUAAUCCGUCUCUGUGGCAAAAGAGUGGAAAGAGCUUUGAGUAGAGGUGACAGACCUAUCGAACUUGGUAAUAGCUGGUUGCUUGAGAGACGAAUAGGAGUUCUGCUUCUUAUAUUCUUACCCCAAACCUAUAUUCUACCAAAGGAGAAAGAAAAUAAGAGAGUUAAUCAAAAGGGGAACAGCCCGUUUGAUAUAAGAUACAACUUUCCCAGGAGGAUAAAGAUCAUAAUAUUUAAGGUAAAUAUGUCUUGGUGGGCUUAAGAGCAGCCAUCCAGCCAGAAAGCGUUAAAGCUCUAACACAAUUUUCCCCUUAGAUCCCGAUAACAAAUCUUAACCCCCUAGAUUGUACCAAGCCGUCCCAUGAACUUAUGGGAGUGAUUAUGCUAAAAUGAGUAACCAGAGAGCACCGACUCUCUCCCUGCACAAGUGUAAUUCGGAACGGACCCCCCGCCGAAGAUUAACGGCCCCAACCCAACAGAGGGCAUUGGGAUAGUAUUAGCAGACAAGAAAACCACCCAAAACAUUACCGUUAACCCCACACUGGACUGCUCCAAGGGAAAGACUAAAAGGAAAAGAAGGAACUCGGCAAACACAAUUGAGCCUCGCCUGUUUACCAAAAACAUCGCCUCUCGACUAAUUACACAUGAGAGGUCCCGCCUGCCCUGUGACCCCUGGUUUAACGGCCGCGGUAUUCUGACCGUGCGAAGGUAGCGCAAUCACUUGUCCCCUAAAUGAGGACCUGUAUGAAUGGCAUAACGAGGGCUUAACUGUCUCCUUUCCCCAGUCAAUGAAAUUGAUCUCCCCGUGCAGAAGCGGGGAUCUAAACAUAAGACGAGAAGACCCUAUGGAGCUUUAGACUAAAGAACAGGCCAUGUCAGCUACCGCCCUAAGCAGGUAAUAACUAUUGAAACUCUGUUCUUUUGUCUUUGGUUGGGGCGACCAUGGGGUAUAAAAAAACCUCCAUGUGGACCGAGAGCAUACAACUCUCAAAACCACGAGCCGCAGCUCUAACGCGCAGAAUAUCUGACCAGAACGAUCCGGCAGAGCCGAUCAACGGACCGAGUUACCCUAGGGAUAACAGCGCAAUCCUCUUUAAGAGUCCUUAUCGACAAGAGGGUUUACGACCUCGAUGUUGGAUCAAGACAUCCUAAUGGUGCAGCCGCUAUUAAGGGUUCGUUUGUUCAACGAUUAAAGUCUU